GCCCUUAGAGUUUGAUCCUGGCUCAGAACGAACGCUGGCGGCAGGCUUAACACAUGCAAGUCGAGCGCACUCUUCGGAGUGAGCGGCGGACGGGUGAGUAACGCGUGGGAACGUGCCCUUCGGUGCGGAAUAUACCAGGGAAACUUGGGGCAAUACCGCAUACGCCCUACGGGGGAAAGAUUUAUCGCCGAGGGAUCGGCCCGCGUUGGAUUAGGUAGUUGGUGGGGUAAUGGCCUACCAAGCCGACGAUCCAUAGCUGGUUUGAGAGGAUGAUCAGCCACACUGGGACUGAGACACGGCCCAGACUCCUACGGGAGGCAGCAGUGGGGAAUCUUGGACAAUGGGGGAAACCCUGAUCCAGCCAUGCCGCGUGAGCGAUGAAGGCCUUACGGUUGUAAAGCUCUUUCGCUGGGUAAGAUAAUGACGGUACCCAGUAAAGAAGCCCCGGCUAACUCCGUGCCA
RNAcentral lists this ribosomal RNA (462 nucleotides) under uncultured Alphaproteobacteria bacterium. RNAcentral describes it as "bacterial SSU rRNA". It matches the Rfam family "Bacterial small subunit ribosomal RNA", at positions 1 to 510 of the family's 1533-position model. The record is from RNAcentral. Lineage: Bacteria; Pseudomonadati; Pseudomonadota; Alphaproteobacteria.